UGGGGAAUAUUGGACAAUGCGCGCAAGCCUGAUCCAGCCAUGCCGCGUGUGUGAAGAAGGCCUUUUGGUUGUAAAGCACUUUAAGCGUGGAGGAGGCUACUUGGAUUAAUACUCUAGGAUAGUGGACGUUACUCGCAGAAUAAGCACCGGCUAACUCUGUGCCAGCAGCCGCGGUAAUACAGAGGGUGCGAGCGUUAAUCGGAUUUACUGGGCGUAAAGCGUUCGUACGCGGCUUUUUAAGUCGGAUGUGAAAUCCCUGAGCUUAACUUAGGAAAUGCAUUGGAUACUGGGAAGCUAGAGUAUGGGAGAGGAUGGUAGAAUUCCAGGUGUAGCAGUGAAAUGCGUAGAGAUCUGGAGGAAUACCGAUGGCAAAGGCAGCCAUCUGGACUAAAAAUGACGCUAAGGUACGAAAGAAUGGGGAGCAAACAGG
RNAcentral lists this ribosomal RNA (430 nucleotides) under Actinomycetes bacterium. Its description in RNAcentral is "Actinobacteria bacterium partial 16S ribosomal RNA". It matches the Rfam family "Bacterial small subunit ribosomal RNA", at positions 355 to 776 of the family's 1533-position model. Lineage: Bacteria; Bacillati; Actinomycetota; Actinomycetes. The record is from RNAcentral.